This is an RNA transcript of Rhineura floridana, 1047 nucleotides long. RefSeq lists it as uncharacterized. NCBI's taxonomy places the organism in Eukaryota, Metazoa, Chordata, Lepidosauria, Squamata, Rhineuridae. The record is from RefSeq and is a predicted model, not a curated record. The transcript has 4 exons.
AAAUGGCACAAAUCUUUGGUUUAAAGCAGCAACAUUUAAAAAAAACCAUAAAAAGUAGUACGGUUGAAGCUUUUACAAGAAGAUCCAAUGCGUGCUGUAUUGCUCGACAUAUUCCUCUUUCAUCUUUGCAAUGACUCAAUUCUCUCUGGGAAUAUAUUCUUUGGAUUGUUUUUAUAACAAUAAAAAGACAUUGUCUACUGGAAGGGAUGUGAUUGUACUGGCAGCUGUCCUUCGACUGACAUGACAGCCAGCACAUAUCUUGGAGUCAUCCCCUUAUUUUAAUGAUGAACAGCCAUCCCAAGGCAAGAGAGGUGUGGCAAAGACUGGGUCAUCCAGGGCAUGCAACGCCGCUAGUGUUUCUUUUCCAGUCCAGGCAGAAGGGUGUACAACGCUGGGAGAAGUCCGAGGGAGAGGAAAAGAACAUUGGACAAGCACCUUUGGCCUGAGUUUUGCCAGCGUGGCGGCGUGAUGCCCAAGAUUGGAGAUACUCCUUGUCCUUCAGCCUUGCAGAACCUCUACGGUUUCCUCUUGACCAUGUCAUUAAUGGGCCUCCUUGCCAGUGGGCAGCACCUAUGUCAGAAAGAGUCCAUCGGACUUCUACGUAGCAUCAUCAAGUGUGUGGGCAACUCCAGCGACGGGACCCUGUUCACCCCAGACAAUAUCACUGUGCGUAUCUCCGGCAGACAAUAUUUACAACGCGGGACGGGGGGGUAUUUGGCACAAUCUUCUUCCUCACAAGCAGCCUGUGAACUUGGUGCUUGUCCGUGCAUAACCCCCCACCCUGAAAUGGACUCCUCAAGCUAUGUAUUUGUUUGUUUGAUUAAUCAUUUCUCUAUCCUACUUUUUCAAAACAAAAGCCAACUUUUCCAGGGGGGCUUAUAAACAGAUAAAGCAAAUAAAAAGACAACAGUGUAACCAAAAUCGCAAAAUCUAGAAGCAGCAGGUAAGAACAGCCGCAUAAGAUAAUCCCCGCCUUCGACGGUUAACAUAAGAGCUGUCAAAAGAGCUCCAAUAAGCCACCUGCCUCAACAUCCUGUGUCUUGACAG